AUGGCCACCCGCCGAAACGUCGACGAGGAAGUGCGCCUCGCCGCCCCGACGGAACCCCGGAGCCUAGAGCCGACGGCAGCACAAGACAUCUCGUUCUUGAAGGAGGCUCUCGACACUGCAACAUUGGGGGAAUCAUCUGUCAGUGCCACUUCCUCUUCCUGCCCGCAGGUGGAGACAGUAGCUGCUGAUGAGAGAGGCGUCGGGCUCUCGCCACCACCACCUGGGCGUUUGUCUCCUAGUCCUGGGACACCGGCCAUCACGUCCCGGAGACCUUAUAAUUGGGCCAAGACAUUUAUCAUCAGAACUGAUCUCCGGGGAUCAGUCCACAUAUAUCCUCCUAUUGGUGGGCCAUUCCAGAGCGUACAGGAAGCUGAUGAUGCUAUCGGUCGCCAUCUCGAUGACCUGCGGGAUAAGAACGUGUGCUUAUAUGGGAUGUCCUGGACGGAGAGAGUUACAAGGCGGGCUCUUUACCGGCCUGAUGGUACAAGGAAGAAGCUUUCAAAGUCGUUAUUAGAACCGGAAAGGCUUAAGCAUACUCGCCUAUUGGUUCAAGCUCUACUGGACAAAUAUAACGAGGACCACAAUCUUUUGGGGAAUCUCGCAUAUGAACUCAAAGAUAUUGCGUGCAUCCAGUCAGUUUGUGAGGGCAGCCCCCAUAAGUAUGAUUGGUACUAUCAUCUCAAUUUCACUACAAGGAAUAAAGGAGAUGAUGAAUUGCACAGUGGCACCGACAAUCUAUUCUUUGCAGAAAUCACACGUAUGGGAGGACCAUAUAAAGAUUUUGUGCUCAGCUGUUUCUACAUGUUUAAACCUAAUGAUAAUGGUCACUGCCGCGGUUGUACGAAUAACAAAAGGGUUAACUUGAAGCACCCUAAUGAUGCUGAUGAAUACUCUGGUGGUCACUUGGAUCCAUAUUUGCCGUACGGUGGUGACACUAAUAUACAAGAUAGCAGCUCUGAUGAGAAUUUGGACGCUGAGGAGAAGGAAGCUAUGCUGCAAGCUAAGGAGGAGGCUAGGGUAAAGCGUAUAUACGCGUGCCUUGAUGAUCCAACUUUUUUGGAGAAAAUGAGAAGGCGCUUCAAAGAUGAUCCGCGUGCCGAAGCUUUUUUCAGCCCCCAAAAAAACAAGAUCCUCAGCAUGCAACACCAUUAG
Molecule: ribosomal RNA, 1152 nt
Filed under: Triticum aestivum (bread wheat)
Lineage: Eukaryota; Viridiplantae; Streptophyta; Magnoliopsida; Poales; Poaceae
Description: partial small subunit ribosomal RNA
Source: RNAcentral